UUUCGCAAUGCCCGAAAGGGUGACGAAGCGACGCCGCGUGGGUGAGGAGGGCCCUCGGGUUGUAAAGCCCUGUCAGGAGUUAAGAAAUGUAGGUACGCUAAUAUCGUAUCUAUUUGACAAAGGCUCCUAAGGAAGCCACGGCUAACUCUGUGCCAGCAGCCGCGGUAAUACAGAGGUGGCAAGCGUUGUUCGGAAUUAUUGGGCGUAAAGAGCACGUAGGUGGAUUUGUAAGUCAGAUGUGAAAGCCUCCUGUUCAACGGGAGAAUUGCAUCUGAAACUACAAACCUUGAGUAUAGGAGGGGAGAAUGGAACUUCUGGUGGAGCGGUGAAAUGCGUAGAUAUCAGAAGGAACGCCGGCGGCGAAAGCGAUUCUCUGGCCUAUUACUGACACUCAGUGCGCGAAAGCCAGGGGAGCAAACGGGAUUAGAUACCCCGGUAGUCCUAGCCGUAAACGAUGGGCACUAAGUAGAGGGGUUUU
This 478-nucleotide ribosomal RNA is filed under the name uncultured bacterium. RNAcentral describes it as "bacterial SSU rRNA". It matches the Rfam family "Bacterial small subunit ribosomal RNA", at positions 364 to 832 of the family's 1533-position model. The record is from RNAcentral.